AUCAUCAAGGUCAAUGGUACUACCCCUAAAUCAGAUGUGGAAUAUGUCAUCUCAUGUGCUAAACUCUUCAUUAUUGAGAGGGCUAAGUUAACGGGAGAUGGACUUUGUAUAUGACCUGGAAUGGAGCAACGACAUGCCAAUAUCCAUGUUCAGAACGGGCAGAAUAUGGAUUCAUCUACAUAGUGAAAACCUAGCAACACAAGUGUUAAAAGUGGAAUCGUCAGUCGAGAAAUUCAAAAUCUAUCUAAACUCUCAUGUUUCAGGGGAGGG
This 270-nucleotide long non-coding RNA is filed under the name Gossypium barbadense (sea-island cotton). Its description in RNAcentral is "long non-coding RNA (GBAR_LNC001332)". The record is from RNAcentral. Lineage: Eukaryota; Viridiplantae; Streptophyta; Magnoliopsida; Malvales; Malvaceae.